GACGAACGCUGGCGGCGUGCCUAAUACAUGCAAGUUGAGCGCUGAAGGUUGGUACUUGUACCAACUGGAUGAGCAGCGAACGGGUGAGUAACGCGUGGGGAAUCUGCCUUUGAGCGGGGGACAACAUUUGGAAACGAAUGCUAAUACCGCAUAAAAACUUUAAACACAAGUUUUAAGUUUGAAAGAUGCAAUUGCAUCACUCAAAGAUGAUCCCGCGUUGUAUUAGCUAGUUGGUGAGGUAAAGGCUCACCAAGGCGAUGAUACAUAGCCGACCUGAGAGGGUGAUCGGCCACAUUGGGACUGAGACACGGCCCAAACUCCCACGGGAGGCAGCAGUAGGGAAUCUUCGGCAAUGGACGAAAGUCUGACCGAGCAACGCCGAGGGAGUGAAGAAGGUUUUCGGAUCGUAAAACUCUGUUGGUAGAGAAGAACGUUGGUGAGAGUGGAAAGCUCAUCAAGUGACGGUAACUACCCAGAAAGGGACGGCUAACUACGUG
This 497-nucleotide ribosomal RNA is filed under the name uncultured bacterium. RNAcentral describes it as "partial 16S ribosomal RNA". It matches the Rfam family "Bacterial small subunit ribosomal RNA", at positions 28 to 507 of the family's 1533-position model. The record is from RNAcentral.